Talpa occidentalis (Iberian mole) is the source of this 1511-nucleotide long non-coding RNA. RefSeq lists it as uncharacterized. The transcript has 4 exons. Lineage: Eukaryota; Metazoa; Chordata; Mammalia; Eulipotyphla; Talpidae. The record is from RefSeq and is a predicted model, not a curated record.
CUCGGCUGCCCGCCCGGCCGUCGGGCCACGGGGAGAAGGCGGGAGAGCCAUGGCUCUGUCCCUGGAGGGGCCGGAGGUAAAACCUUUCCCCAGAAUCAUGAAGAAAGUGCAGUCUUUCCUGCGGGCCCUAUUCAGUUUGCGUCCCGUGAAGGCAAGAUGUCCAUCCAAGUUGUUACAAAAGCGCCAUCUCACUUGAGAAAGGGGGCGGCAUUUAGCCCCGUCCAGACGCGUGAACAGCCACACGCUCAGUCCAUAGUGCUGGGCAAGACACCAGAAGCUCCCGUCCAGAAGCCACACUUGAAGCCCUCACACGCGACAGAGCCAGGAUAAAACAAACACCAGGAGAAGGAGCCGAAGAGAGGGAACACGCCGCUGGAGCCCAGAGGCAAACACCUGUUGGAACAUGCUGUGAUAGCGGGUAAGCUGUGGGCACCUGACCACCGGUAAGAGCGCUGGCUGGAAACAGUAGCGUCCGUCAGCGGCAGCCGCGCGGCCACGCACCCACAGGAAGGGCACGUCCCCACGGAAGACUAUCCUAAGGAAGCAGCAAAGUGAGCAAAUACUGUUCAUCUUGACCUUCGAAGACACGUUUUGUUAAUUCUCUGUAACAAACUAGAAGAUACACUUACGCCCUUUAUAAGAUGCACUGGGAAAAAACACUGGUGUGAUUAAGAUGUGAGUGGCAUUAGCUGCUUUUUAAAUUAAACACUUUUUACACAAAGGAAGUGAUGAUAGCUAAAAUAUCAUUACUCAGCCUUGGGUAUUUGGCAAACAUCUUCUCAAAAGUGAAUGAAAUGAGCCCCCAUUUCGAGGAAAACAGUGGAUAGUGUUGGUUGCCUAGAAAAAAAUUGAGACUUCAAGUGAAAAUUAGAAUUUUUGAAAACUCCUGUCUGCCACUGCCACUGUGCCAUCGAUGGCUCCCCACGCCCGCAGGUCCUUGCGGUGGCGAUAGUGGCCGGUGUGAUCUUCUUGAUGUUAUCUGAUGAAAUAUGCCAGUGUCUGGGAGGUCUGUGUGAGUAAGUGAGCCAGUAUUAUCUAAAUGAACAGGGUGUGAUGCUACAAAACCCCACGUGGACAAGAGCCCCAUUUCAAGGGCAAAGCAGACGAGUGGCCUUUAAGCGAGAGCACGAACACCGGCGAUAUGAGUCCCGAUUCCGCACUGCAGCGCGCCUUGAAGGAAGAGCCCCGUGUUGGAGAGCCGGAACUACCUGAGACGGUGCUUGGUUUGCCCUCCCUUUCUAGCCGCCUCUCUCUGUACGGUCAGGUUUCCUUCAUUAAAUGAAACGAAGUGACCGGUCACAACAACAGAGAUGCCACACAGAUCCUGAGAUGCCAGCUGUCUCGAGAGUUGUGAAAAAUGCUACGUAACGCCCCCCCUUUUGUUGUGGAAACUAGCUCUUCUUCACAAAGAUGGCAUUUAUGUCGUGGAUUUGUUUUUACUUUUAGCAGAUGAAUACACAAAUGUGUUUAGAAGUUCUCCAUUUAAAUUUAUGUCCCAGUAACUAAGUAGA